This is a small nucleolar RNA of Lathyrus oleraceus (garden pea), 125 nucleotides long. RefSeq annotates it as small nucleolar RNA snoR77. The transcript has a single exon. The record is from RefSeq and is a predicted model, not a curated record. Lineage: Eukaryota; Viridiplantae; Streptophyta; Magnoliopsida; Fabales; Fabaceae.
AGGAAGCCUAAUUGCUACAAUUAAUGCAUUAAAUGGCAUGAGAGGUCUUUAACUGCUCAUAAAUCAAAUGCUAUUAAGAAUUGCUGAGAUUUUUCUCUGAAGCUGGUUUAGUAAGCUAGUAGGCC